Molecule: ribosomal RNA, 166 nt
Filed under: Plasmodium cynomolgi
Lineage: Eukaryota; Apicomplexa; Aconoidasida; Haemosporida; Plasmodiidae
Description: partial 18S ribosomal RNA
Source: RNAcentral
AUUCGGUAUGAUCAUCGAUUGAAUAUGAUUUCGGUGGGAAAACACUGAUGGACUUGAUUUGCUUUUCACGUCAGUGUCUUAGGGUCGCAACGAAUCGUUGACGUGACUAGUAUAGUUCUCGCUCCUUCUGUUCCCUGGACUUCACUUCCCUGGCUUAUCAUACCGA